GACGAACGCUGGCGGCGUGCUUAACACAUGCAAGUCGAACGGAAAGGCCUCUUUCUUGGGGUACUCUCGUGGCGAACGGGGGUGUAACACGUGAGUAACCUGCCCUUUACUUUUGGAUAACUUCAGGAAACUGGGGCUAAUACCGGAUAGGAGCUCCUCCGGCACGGUGUGGGGGUUAAAGUUUUGGCGGUUUGGGAUGGACUCUCGGGUUAUCACCUUUUUGGGGGGGGGUUGGCUUACCAAGGGUUUUUCGGGUAUGCGGCCUGUGAGGGGGUACGGCCAAAUUGGGGCUGGGAUACCGCCCAGAAUCCUACGGGAGGCAGCAGUGGGGGAUAUUGGAACAUGGGUGGGAGCCUGAUGGCGCAAAGGCGUGUGGGGGAUGAAGGGCUUUGGGUUGGAAAACGCUUUCGCUCAUGAAGAAGCUUUGUGUGACGGUAGUGGGUAAAGAAGCACCGGCUAACUACGUG
Molecule: ribosomal RNA, 467 nt
Filed under: uncultured bacterium
Lineage: Bacteria
Description: partial 16S ribosomal RNA
Rfam family: Bacterial small subunit ribosomal RNA
Source: RNAcentral